AAGCUAUCACAAUUUGCAAACCUGACGAACACCAAAGCCUUUUUACCACACUAUCACAUCACAUCUCAUCCCAUAUCAUCAUACUAUUGUACACAUUCCUGUUCAUUAUAUCUCAGUAAAGAUUGCAUCAGUUCAACAACCA
Molecule: long non-coding RNA, 142 nt
Organism: Rana temporaria (common frog)
Lineage: Eukaryota; Metazoa; Chordata; Amphibia; Anura; Ranidae
Exons: 2
Source: RefSeq, a predicted model, not a curated record